This 301-nucleotide ribosomal RNA is filed under the name uncultured bacterium. RNAcentral's name for it is "partial 16S ribosomal RNA". It matches the Rfam family "Bacterial small subunit ribosomal RNA", at positions 509 to 807 of the family's 1533-position model. The record is from RNAcentral.
CAGUAGCCGCGGUAAUACAGAGGGUGCGAGCGUUAAUCGGAUUUACUGGGCGUAAAGCGUGCGUAGGCGGCUUUUUAAGUCGGAUGUGAAAUCCCUGAGCUUAACUUAGGAAUUGCAUUCGAUACUGGGAAGCUAGAGUAUGGGAGAGGAUGGUAGAAUUCCAGGUGUAGCGGUGAAAUGCGUAGAGAUCUGGAGGAAUACCGAUGGCGAAGGCAGCCAUCUGGCCUAACACUGACGCUGAGGUACGAAAGCAUGGGGAGCAAACAGGAUUAGAUACCCCCGUAGUCCCUGUCUCUUAUAC